CAUUAUGUUGAGAAGAGUUCACGCUCGGAUUCUGUAUUGCCCUCAGCUCAUGGAUAGCCAACGGUCACCGUAAUUGUAGCCCCAUAGAAACGCUGACUACAAACAACCUCGGAUAGGAAUAUUGAAGCUAUUCGCCUUUUCACUGAGCUAGUUCUUCAUUCAAUGUCGGAACAAUGUUUAAAGACGGUAACACAAUUGAUGCACGAUUAAGCUGAUACGACAGUUGCCGACUCUGAAACGUAUAGAAACGUGGUCAGGAUAGACUAGGAAAGAUAUCGGACUCCCACAACUAUGCUCGCUCUGGAGGACCUUCUCAAACCUACAUGUCGACCUCGAAAUCAAAUGCGGAACAGACAUGAUGUUACAUGUCGGCUGAAUACGUAUGUAGAUAUUAAUUACCCUAUGUGUGGUCUUGAGACUGUUGAUAAACUGGAUGUGCCAGGAUGCCGGAUUUGAGGUGACACACUCCAGGGUAUGGUGACACACCAG
This is a long non-coding RNA of Varroa destructor (honeybee mite), 489 nucleotides long. RefSeq lists it as uncharacterized. Lineage: Eukaryota; Metazoa; Arthropoda; Arachnida; Mesostigmata; Varroidae. The record is from RefSeq and is a predicted model, not a curated record.